GGUGCGGGCCAUCUGGGGAUUGCGGAAUCGCCUCGGGAGCUGGCGGGAAUUGUUUUCAAGUCCAAUGUCGCGCGUGCGGAGUCGCGUCACGCGCUG
Molecule: transfer RNA, 96 nt
Filed under: Planctomycetaceae bacterium
Lineage: Bacteria; Pseudomonadati; Planctomycetota; Planctomycetia; Planctomycetales; Planctomycetaceae
Description: tRNA-Ser
Source: RNAcentral